RNAcentral lists this long non-coding RNA (929 nucleotides) under Anser brachyrhynchus (Pink-footed goose). Its description in RNAcentral is "lncRNA (ENSABRG00000015354.1)". The record is from RNAcentral. Lineage: Eukaryota; Metazoa; Chordata; Aves; Anseriformes; Anatidae.
AAGCUUCAAGUAGCCUUCCAGCUUUCUGUCUUUCAGCUCUAUAGAGACAAACCAUCUGAGCUAGCUAUAUCAGCUCCUGGUGCACACCUGGAGAUGUUUUAAAGCAAAAGGGAGUGAUUGAAAACAGCUGGAAAGUAACUGAAUAAGAAGAAAAAUCUCUGAAUUAGAAGUCAACUUCUGGUUUAAGGAUGUGAAUCAGAAACUACUAUCUAUUUAAGCUUCAGAAGAUUAGCUUGUGGUAGGCAAAGUUGGCUUUAGAGAUAUAUAGUCUGAAUCUGUGGCUGCUUAAUGGUUUAAUGGAGAACAUCAAUAUCAGAGAGCGGCUGAGUCUGUCACAAUGCUCUUCCUUGGUAUCUGAGCACCGGGGACCUCCUGCAUGCUUCUCGCUGGAUAUGUCAGUGUGCUGUGGUUGACUUGAAAAUGAAAUUGGAAGAGCUGCUCAUGUGCAACUGAAGCUGGCUUGGAGGAGCAAUGCAACAUCAAGGAGCAGACACGAGCCUCCAAACCUUGGCAUGGACAGCACGUGGAGUUGGUGUGGGACAGAGAUGGCAGGGACAGCAUUCUUUCCACUAACCAACUCUGCAGAGCAGAAGGGGAAAACAGUGCUGUGAACUUGCUGGAACGAGGCGAAGUGUGAGUGGAAGCUCUGACUUACCAUUUCAGUGAGCCGCAGUGCGUGGUGGAAAGGCUGUCUUACCGUCUACAAACACCUUUCGCGUGAAAGCAUGUCUUCAAGACAGCUCUGAACACGUUGGGACUGCUGGGAGGGACGAAUUGAUAAACGGGUUGGUGAAUCACAGAAAUCAGUUCUAACCUCACAAUAGGUGCUGGGAGGGUGGGGGUGUAACGGGGCCCUAUCUCACAAAGCAGAGGCCAGCAGCCAACCGGCAGUUCAUCUGCCCACUUAAUCUGAGCAAGGCCUAAGGAUG